UACGGAGGGUGCAGGCGUUAUCCGGAUUCACUGGGUUUAAAGGGAGCGUAGGUGGGCAGGUAAGUCAGUGGUGAAAUCUCUGGGCUUAACCCGGAAACUGCCAUUGAUACUAUUUGUCUUGAAUAUUCUGGAGGUAAGCGGAAUAUGUCAUGUAGCGGUGAAAUGCUUAGAUAUGACAUAGAACACCAAUUGCGAAGGCAGCUUACUACGGAACUAUUGACACUGAGGCUCGAAAGCAUGGGGAGCGAACAGG
Molecule: ribosomal RNA, 253 nt
Filed under: uncultured bacterium
Lineage: Bacteria
Description: partial 16S ribosomal RNA
Rfam family: Bacterial small subunit ribosomal RNA
Source: RNAcentral